GCUGGGUUAGCUCACUCGGUUAAGGCGCCGCAUUUGCGCUACUGUGGCGCGGGUUAGAUCCCCGUUCAUACCA
This is a non-coding RNA of Gymnothorax javanicus (giant moray), 73 nucleotides long. NCBI's taxonomy places the organism in Eukaryota, Metazoa, Chordata, Actinopteri, Anguilliformes, Muraenidae. The record is from the annotation of a GenBank genome assembly.